AUAAGCAGUUGCAAAGUUCGAUUUUGCUGUAUAGUAUUGAGCCACAUAUUCUUCACAGUAUAUUUUGCUCAUACCUACUGCAGACUUCCUCAUGACAGCUGAAGUGCAAACUGUAAGUGACUUCAUCGCUGCCUUCCUCUUUUGCACCCCAUCACUAUGCACGGGUGAAUGCUGAACUCAGUUAGCGAAUUCACCUUGCCUUUGUAACUGAAAUGGAUUCCAUUGGUUGGUAUGCAACAACAAUAAUAAUAACAAAAAAGCUCAAUAAACUUGGCUUCCCCAGUGCUCUGAUAGCUGCAUAUCCAUUUGUUGGUAAAUGGUGGAAGACAGAAGACUUAUUAUAGAUUUUACAUCCUGCCCACGAGGAUUUUGACUGAUUCCAUUGAGCAGGCUCGGGAAUCUUAGACAUCUAGACGCACACCAUGUGAACUAAAAGCAGUUUGCAAUCUUCCUAAAGAAUUCUGACACUGACUCCUGCCUUCAGCUGAAAGGCUGCCACGUCCUGGGACCACACUCUCAAUAGCUGGAUGGAAAAUGAUUACUCCGAGCAAAUGCACACCAACUGGCAAGUGAUUGCAGUGUCCUGUGGAUAUACAUCGGGAGAAGCAGAAGAAUUGAGCUGGCAAGUUGUACAGUAGAAGGAGACUGCCUCAGGGCCUGAGCCUCUGUGAGGCUUGUGGACCCUCCACCACCU
Molecule: long non-coding RNA, 694 nt
Filed under: Oryctolagus cuniculus (rabbit)
Lineage: Eukaryota; Metazoa; Chordata; Mammalia; Lagomorpha; Leporidae
Description: lncRNA (ENSOCUG00000030072.1)
Source: RNAcentral